AAAAAAAGUAAAAGUAAACCAGAAACGUGCAGCUAAUGCACAAGUUAAAUAAAACAAGGACUUUGUUAACUCCGUAUACGCAACCAAACAGUGACAUGAAAAAUAGGUGCUGACUGCGGGUAUUAUGAAAAGACACUCUUUGGCCGCUUUACCAUCAAAACAGCAAUCUGAGAGGAAAUCUUGAUUUCAAUCCAUAAUGCCCUCGAUCAACUAUUACUCCAAGGAGCAAUUACCCAACCUCUUCUCUACCUUAGCUUUCGUCUUCUUAGCUUUGGCUUCAGGUUGUGGUUUGAAUGGAAGGAAUUCCUCACCACCCAUGAAAGGUUGCAAAG
RNAcentral lists this unclassified non-coding RNA (332 nucleotides) under Hevea brasiliensis (rubber tree). The record is from RNAcentral. Lineage: Eukaryota; Viridiplantae; Streptophyta; Magnoliopsida; Malpighiales; Euphorbiaceae.